This 253-nucleotide ribosomal RNA is filed under the name uncultured bacterium. RNAcentral describes it as "partial 16S ribosomal RNA". It matches the Rfam family "Bacterial small subunit ribosomal RNA", at positions 524 to 776 of the family's 1533-position model. The record is from RNAcentral.
UACGUAGGGUGCGAGCGUUAAUCGGAAUAACUGGGCGUAAAGGGUGCGUAGGCGGAUGUAUAAGUUAGAUGUGAAAAGCCCGGGCUUAACCUUGGUCGUGCAUUUAAGACUGUAUAUCUAGAGUUUGUAAGAGGGGCGUAGAAUUCCAUGUGUAGCAGUGAAAUGCGUAGAGAUGUGGAGGAAUACCGAUGGCGAAGGCAGCGCCCUGGUAUAGAACUGACGCUGAGGCACGAAAGCGUGGGAAGCAAACAGG